RNAcentral lists this transfer RNA (88 nucleotides) under Candidatus Zambryskibacteria bacterium RIFCSPHIGHO2_02_FULL_39_16. RNAcentral's name for it is "tRNA-Ser". It matches the Rfam family "tRNA". Rfam says of the family: Transfer RNA (tRNA) molecules are approximately 80 nucleotides in length. Their secondary structure includes four short double-helical elements and three loops (D, anti-codon, and T loops). The record is from RNAcentral. Lineage: Bacteria; Candidatus Zambryskiibacteriota.
GGAGGGUUCGCAUAGUGGUCUAGUGCACCACGUUGGAAACGUGGCGUGGGGAAACCCACCGAGAGUUCGAAUCUCUCACCCUCCGCCU